GUUUGAUCCUGGCUCAGAUUGAACGCUGGCGGCAUGCUUUACACAUGCAAGUCGAACGGGGUGGGGGGGCAACUCCUCAUUCAGUGGCGAACGGGUGAGUAAUGCAUCGGAACGUAUCCCGUAGUGGGGGAUAACGCCGCGAAAGCGGCGCUAAUACCGCAUAUGCUCUACGGAGGAAAGUGGGGGACCGCAAGGCCUCACGCUAUGGGAGCGGCCGAUGUCCGAUUAGCUAGUUGGUGGGGUAAAGGCCCACCAAGGCGACGAUCGGUAGCUGGUCUGAGAGGAUGAUCAGCCACACUGGGACUGAGACACGGCCCAGACUCCUACGGGAGGCAGCAGUGGGGAGUUUUGGACAAUGGGGGCAACCCUGAUCCAGCCAUGCCGCGUGCGGGAAGAAGGCCUUCGGGUUGUAAACCGCUUUUAGCCGGGAAGAAAAGGCAUCUCCUAAUACGGGGUGUUCUUGACGGUACCGGCGGAAUAAGCACCGGCUAACUACGUGCCAGCAGCCGCGGUAAUACGUAGGGUGCGAGCGUUAAUCGGAAUUACUGGGCGUAAAGCGUGCGCAGGCGGUUCGUUAAGUCUGAUGUGAAAGCCCCGGGCUCAACCUGGGAAUGGCAUUGGAAACUGGCGGGCUGGAGUGCGGCAGAGGGGGGUGGAAUUCCGCGUGUAGCAGUGAAAUGCGUAGAGAUGCGGAGGAACACCGAUGGCGAAGGCAGCCCCCUGGGCCGACACUGACGCUCAGGCACGAAAGCGUGGGGAGUAAACAGGAUUAGAUACCCUGGUAGUCCACGCCCUAAACGAUGUCGACUGGGUGUCGGGGGAGAGAUCUCUUGGUACCGUAGCUAACGCGUGAAGUCGACCGCCUGGGGA
Molecule: ribosomal RNA, 870 nt
Filed under: uncultured bacterium
Lineage: Bacteria
Description: bacterial SSU rRNA
Rfam family: Bacterial small subunit ribosomal RNA
Source: RNAcentral